Molecule: ribosomal RNA, 497 nt
Filed under: uncultured bacterium
Lineage: Bacteria
Description: partial 16S ribosomal RNA
Rfam family: Bacterial small subunit ribosomal RNA
Source: RNAcentral
GAUGAACGCUGGCGGCGUGCCUAAUACAUGCAAGUCGAGCGAACAGACGAGGAGCUUGCUCCUCUGACGUUAGCGGCGGACGGGUGAGUAACACGUGGAUAACCUACCUAUAAGACUGGGAUAAAUUCGGGAAACCGGAGCUAAUACCGGAUAAUAUAUUGAACCGCAUGGUUCAAUAGUGAAAGACGGUUUUGCUGUCACUUAUAGAUGGAUCCGCGCCGCAUUAGCUAGUUGGUAAGGUAACGGCUUACCAAGGCAACAAUGCGUAGCCGACCUGAGAGGGUGAUCGGCCACACUGGAACUGAGACACGGUCCAGACUCCUACGGGAGGCAGCAGUAGGGAAUCUUCCGCAAUGGGCGAAAGCCUGACGGAGCAACGCCGCGUGAGUGAUGAAGGUCUUCGGAUCGUAAAACUCUGUUAUUAGGGAAGAACAAAUGUGUAAGUAACUAUGCACGUCUUGACGGUACCUAAUCAGAAAGCCACGGCUAACUACGUG